GUCGCAGUGAGCCGAUAACGCACAGAAAUUAAUAUCUAAUUUUAAAGCAUUUGAUAUUUGCCCAUCCAUUCACAUCGAACAGCGAUUUUUUUGUUGUUAUACUAUAGUUAUUAGCGGACACAUAUGUAUGUAUGUAUAUCUCGGGAGCACGGUCCUUACGCCUUUCCUCGUCGUGCCUUCGCCACCAAAAACCUGUUUGGACGAAAAAGAACCAUUCGUGUGAACUCAGUCUCAGCAGCUGGAGAAGAGACUUCUUCAUAAAAAACAAUUCACGACAUAUGGCGGUUGGAAGUAAAAUUGGUCAUCGUAGUGGAUCUCACUUUCAUUCACUCUUUUCAACGUUAUAUAAUUCAUAUUAUUUGCAAAUUCAAUUCAUGACGUAUGUCCAUAUUAUUUGGGAUUUUUCAUAACUUAAAGAGAGAUUAAAUUACUCAUGAUGUUUCAUAGAAAUGCAGAAAUUAUCAAUAGUCGAUAUGUAAGUAUGUAUGUACAUACAUAUGAUUAUGUUGUCUUUCUUAUUCAUGUAUUAUAACCAAUGAUAAAUAAAAUAAGAAAAAUCGUUAACUUCGGCUGCACCGAAGCUAAUAUACAUAAGUACAUACUUAUGUACCUUUCACAGGUGCAUUUCUUUUAGUAACUACAUAUGUACAUAUGUGUUCAGUUUGUAUGGAAGCUACAUACAUACAUACAUAUAUGCUUUAGUUAACCGAUCUGAACAAUUUCUUUGGAGAUUAUAUUGGGUUGUCAAAAAAGUCUUGCGGUAUUUUCGCUAGUUGGCGCGGAAAGCGCGUAGUUCUAGUUUUAUUCGUCGCAUCGGGUCAUGCUAUACCUUCUUGGAAAGCUCAUUUCACGCGCUAACACGUGUUUGAUUGAUUGUCGUUUCUUUUAAGUCGUUCGUGAGUUAUAGCGUCGCAAACAUGGAGCAAAAUAAAGAGAAAAUACGGCAUAUUUUACAGUACUAAUACGAUAAAGGCAAAAAUGCAUCUCAAGCCACCAAUAAAAAUUGUGCAGUUUACGGACCCGAUACAGUUUCCAUUUCCACCGCACAACGAUGGUUUCAACGUUUUCGUUCUGGUGUAGAGGUGGUCGAAGAUGCGCCACGCUCCGGAAGGCCUGUCGUCGAAAAUUGCGAUAAAAUCGCUGAAUUGGUCGAAAGAGACCGGCAUAAUAGCAGCCGUAGCGUCGGUCAAGAGCUGGGCAUGAGUCAUCAAAAAUUAAUUUCAAUUUCAAUAAAAAAAAAAAUCAAUAAAAAUACCGCGAGACUGUUUUGACAACCCAUUAUUAUUACCUUAAGCAGUAAUCGAUACCAAAUUUUGUGAAGACAUACAAAUGUAUCGUCAAAUGAGAAAGUUUCCGAUGCAAGCAUUUUAUUCCGAUCAUUCAGUUUGAAUGGCAGCUAAAUACUAUAGAUAACCGAUCUGAACAAUUUCUUCGGAGAUUACAUUGUUGCUUUAAAAAAUAAUCUUUACCAAAUUUUGUGAAUAUAUCUUGUCAAAUGUGAAAGUUUUCCAUACAAGAACUUGUUUCCGAUCGUUCAGUUUGUACGUCAGCUAUACGUUAUAGUGGUCCUAUAUCGGCAGUUUCGACAAAUGAGCAGCUUCUUGAAGAGAAAAUGACGUUUUCAAAAUUUUAAAACGAUAUUUUAGAAACUGAGGGGCUAGUUCGUAUAUAUACAGACGGACAGAGGGACAUGGGUAAAUCGACUCAGCUCAUACUGAUUAUUUAUAUAAGUACUUAUACUUUACAAGAUCUCUGAAGUCUCCUUCUAGAUGUUACAAACUUUGUGUGAGUCAAACAAAAUAUGACAUAAUUUCACCAUUUUUAGUAAACAGGCUAUUCGUAAAAGGCUUUACGGUUUUUAGCUGAAGAAGGCUAUCAGCAUGGAGUGGAUAAAGACUUCGAUAUUCCAAUGGCUCAGUCAACAUUUUAUUGCAUCUUAAAAGAAGUAUUGGGAUUGCUUCAGUCCCAUUUGUGCCCUCAGUGGAUAAACCUCGAGUUAAGUAACGUUGAAAAAAGUGAAGCGAAAAAGUUUUUUUUUCAGAAAUACAGAUUUCCAGGCGCGAU
Molecule: long non-coding RNA, 2064 nt
Organism: Bactrocera dorsalis (oriental fruit fly)
Lineage: Eukaryota; Metazoa; Arthropoda; Insecta; Diptera; Tephritidae
Exons: 3
Source: RefSeq, a predicted model, not a curated record